This 345-nucleotide ribosomal RNA is filed under the name uncultured eukaryote. RNAcentral's name for it is "SSU rRNA". It matches the Rfam family "Eukaryotic small subunit ribosomal RNA", at positions 594 to 945 of the family's 1831-position model. The record is from RNAcentral.
AUAGCGUAUAUUAAAGUUGUUGCAGUUAAAAAGCUCGUAGUUGAACCUUGGAUCUGGCUGCUCGGUCCGCCUAACCGCGUGCACUGAUGCGGCCGGAUCUUUCCUUCUGGCUAGCCUCAUGCUCUUCACUGGGUGUGUUGGGGAUCCAGGACUUUUACUUUGAAAAAAUUAGAGUGUUCAAAGCAGGCCUAUGCUCGAAUACAUUAGCAUGGAAUAAUAGAAUAGGACGGCGGUUCUAUUUUGUUGGUUUCUAGAGCCACCGUAAUGAUUAAUAGGGAUAGUCGGGGGCAUCAGUAUUCAAUUGUCAGAGGUGAAAUUCUUGGAUUUAUGGAAGACUAACUACUG